GCUGGGUAUGGUAGUGCAUACCUGUUGUCCCAGCUACUCAGGAGGCUGAGGUGGGAGGAUCGCUUGAGCCCAGGAGUUCGAGGCUGCAGUGAGCCAAGAUCACACCACUGCACUCCAGCCUGGGCACCAGAGUGAGACCCUGUCUCUA
RNAcentral lists this signal recognition particle RNA (148 nucleotides) under Cercocebus atys (sooty mangabey). RNAcentral describes it as "Metazoan signal recognition particle RNA". It matches the Rfam family "Metazoan signal recognition particle RNA". From Rfam's summary of the family: The signal recognition particle (SRP) is a universally conserved ribonucleoprotein. It is involved in the co-translational targeting of proteins to membranes. The record is from Rfam by way of RNAcentral. RNAcentral also lists the same sequence under 4 other names. Lineage: Eukaryota; Metazoa; Chordata; Mammalia; Primates; Cercopithecidae.